AUCUCUUGGUUCUGGCAUCGAUGAAGAACGCAGCGAAAUGCGAUAAGUAAUGUGAAUUGCAGAAUUCAGUGAAUCAUCGAAUCUUUGAACGCACAUUGCGCCCCUCGGUAUUCCGGGGGGCAUGCCUGUUCGAGCGUCAUU
RNAcentral lists this ribosomal RNA (141 nucleotides) under Rhizoplaca haydenii. Its description in RNAcentral is "5.8S ribosomal RNA". It matches the Rfam family "5.8S ribosomal RNA". From Rfam's summary of the family: 5.8S ribosomal RNA (5.8S rRNA) is a component of the large subunit of the eukaryotic ribosome. RNAcentral also lists the same sequence under 16 other names. Lineage: Eukaryota; Fungi; Ascomycota; Lecanoromycetes; Lecanorales; Lecanoraceae. The record is from RNAcentral.